RNAcentral lists this ribosomal RNA (505 nucleotides) under uncultured bacterium. Its description in RNAcentral is "bacterial SSU rRNA". It matches the Rfam family "Bacterial small subunit ribosomal RNA", at positions 501 to 1008 of the family's 1533-position model. The record is from RNAcentral.
CUACGUGCCAGCAGCCGCGGUAAUACGGAAGGUCCAGGCGUUAUCCGGAUUUAUUGGGUUUAAAGGGAGCGUAGGCUGGAGAUUAAGUGUGUUGUGAAAUGUAGACGCUCAACGUCUGACUUGCAGCGCAUACUGGUUUCCUUGAGUACGCACAACGUUGGCGGAAUUCGUCGUGUAGCGGUGAAAUGCUUAGAUAUGACGAAGAACUCCGAUUGCGAAGGCAGCUGACGGGAGCGCAACUGACGCUGAAGCUCGAAGGUGCGGGUAUCGAACAGGAUUAGAUACCCUGGUAGUCCGCACAGUAAACGAUGGAUGCCCGCUGUUGGUACCUGGUAUCAGCGGCUAAGCGAAAGCAUUAAGCAUCCCGCCUGGGGAGUACGCCGGCAACGGUGAAACUCAAAGGAAUUGACGGGGGCCCGCACAAGCGGAGGAACAUGUGGUUUAAUUCGAUGAUACGCGAGGAACCUUACCCGGGCUUGAAUUGCAGAGGAAGGAUUUAGAGAUA